UACAAAAGACGGGUGGGUGGUGCAGUAUUCUAGUCGGCACGGCCAACUUUGAAGGCGGGCCUAAAAAUCCGUCAAGGGCACAGCGAUGAAGUUCCUGGUGCUGGCUGCCGACGCCCAGUCGGGGGCUGGUGCUGGGAGUUAAGGGGGUGGGGCGAUCUACAAUGGCAUGUAGGCGUUGACCCCGCCCCCGUGGAGACCCAAGUGUGUGGUUGGCCCUAUGCGCAAGGAUAGGGGGCUAUGGCUUGGGAUAUAAACCUGCAUGUCGGUACAAAAGGGUGCUGGCUGCAGCGUAGCCUGCCUUGAGUGGGAAUGGUGGAUGUAGGUGUUCAUGCCCGCAGGUGCUAUGGCCAUAGCCUUGCGCGCGUGCUACUUGAAACCAUUACUGCAAAAGAGGCUAGAGGUUGGUUAGUGCCGCCGAGGAAAACUCCUAGUCUGUUUACCAACGGUAAGGCUUACCGGGGAUUAAAGUGUGCGCUUAGUGGUAAUCUAGUCCUGCCGGCGGCGACGCGGCGGAGCCGCCCUUAAAGGGAAACCACCAGUACGGCGACGACUGGCGGGCGACUGGGAAAACCAACUGGACCUAUGCCACAACAUUUACCUGGUAAGCUGCCACCCACCCAUAUUAAUGA
This 629-nucleotide small RNA is filed under the name Clostridiales bacterium PH28_bin88. The record is from RNAcentral. Lineage: Bacteria; Bacillati; Bacillota; Clostridia; Eubacteriales.